CCGGAGUGGACGCAUCACUGGUGUUCGGGUUGUCAUGCCAAUGGCACUGCCCGGUAGCUAAAUGCGGAAGAGAUAAGUGCUGAAAGCAUCUAAGCACGAAACUUGCCCCGAGAUGAGUUCUCCCUGAGACUUUAAGUCUCCUGAAGGAACGUUGAAGACGACGACGUUGAUAGGCCGGGUGUGUAAGCGCAGCGAUGCGUUGAGCUAACCGGUACUAAUGAACCGUGAGGCUUAACCUUACAACGCCGAAG
Molecule: ribosomal RNA, 251 nt
Filed under: Escherichia coli
Lineage: Bacteria; Pseudomonadati; Pseudomonadota; Gammaproteobacteria; Enterobacterales; Enterobacteriaceae
Also listed under: 2 other names
Description: partial 23S ribosomal RNA
Rfam family: Bacterial large subunit ribosomal RNA
Source: RNAcentral